GAUACCUUUUCGGAAAGCCCAAAGAUAGCCCUCCGACGAAAUAAGCAGGACAAUGGAACUUUUCCAUUGACUUUUUGUCGACUCCAAAUUUUGACCUUUAAGUACUUUUUCGGGCAUUUUCGUGAUUUGUGCUAUAUUACGGACCCAAAAUUACUCUUUCAAGCAUUGUUUUCGAAUAUUUUUCAUGCAUCAAAGCUCGUUAAGACUAGAUGGGGUAUCCCUACAUAGCGGGUGGGACCCACGGCGAAUGGUUCAUCAACUCUUCAAAAAAGAAUAUAUACGAUUGCAUUGCAUAUACUUACGGAUGCGAUCAUACCAGCACUAAUGCACCGGAUCCCAUCAGAACUCCGCAGUUAAGCGUGCUUGGGCGAGAGUAGUAACUAGGAUGGGUGACCUCCCGGGAAGUCCUCGUGUUGCAUCCCUCUUUUUUUUUUUUUUUUUUGGUUAAAACUUUAUGACUCUAUAACUUCUACACAG
RNAcentral lists this ribosomal RNA (477 nucleotides) under Arabidopsis thaliana (thale cress). The record is from RNAcentral. Lineage: Eukaryota; Viridiplantae; Streptophyta; Magnoliopsida; Brassicales; Brassicaceae.